AGACCCGUAUGAAAGGCAAAACGAGAGUUCAACUGUCUCUUUAAUCUUAUCAGUGAAAUUUAUUUCUCCGUGCAGAAGCGGAGAUAACCAUAUAAGACGAGAAGACCCUAUGGAGCUUUAAAUACAGAACCAACUACAACCACAUUUUUAGCCAACAGGCAAAAAAUUAAUAAGUGUAGUCGUGGUUUAGAUUUUCGGUUGGGGCGACCGCGGAGUAAAAAUUAACCUCCACGACAUAUAAUUUAGAACGACACUUCGAAAACUAAAACAUUUAUUUUAAUGACCCACUAAGUGACCAACGAACCAAGUUACC
RNAcentral lists this ribosomal RNA (313 nucleotides) under Ichthyosaura alpestris (Alpine newt). RNAcentral describes it as "partial 16S ribosomal RNA". It matches the Rfam family "Bacterial large subunit ribosomal RNA", at positions 1984 to 2467 of the family's 2925-position model. Lineage: Eukaryota; Metazoa; Chordata; Amphibia; Caudata; Salamandridae. The record is from RNAcentral.